This 180-nucleotide unclassified non-coding RNA is filed under the name uncultured fungus. Its description in RNAcentral is "sequence contains ITS1". The record is from RNAcentral. Lineage: Eukaryota; Fungi.
UUGAUUGAUUCAUCAUCGUACUCGGACACACAGAUGCAGCGUUAGACGGUCCACCGGGGGCCCCGGCACCGGAGGGCCGGGUUGCCCCCGAGGCAACAGUGUCGGGUGACAUGGGGUUGAGAGGUCGGACCCGGAGGCCCUCGCUCGGUAAUGAUCCCUCCGCAGGUUCACCUACGGAGA